Molecule: ribosomal RNA, 497 nt
Filed under: uncultured bacterium
Lineage: Bacteria
Description: partial 16S ribosomal RNA
Rfam family: Bacterial small subunit ribosomal RNA
Source: RNAcentral
GAUGAACGCUGGCGGCGUGCCUAAUACAUGCAAGUCGAGCGAACGGACGAGAAGCUUGCCUCUCUGAUGUUAGCGGCGGACGGGUGAGUAACACGUGGAUAACCUACCUAUAAGACUGGGAUAACUUCGGGAAACCGGAGCUAAUACCGGAUAAUAUUUUGAACCGCAUGGUUCAAAAGUGAAAGACGGCCUUGCUGUCACUUAUAGAUGGAUCCGCGCUGCAUUAGCUAGUUGGUAAGGUAACGGCUUACCAAGGCAACGAUGCAUAGCCGACCUGAGAGGGUGAUCAGCCACACUGGAACUGAGACACGGUCCAGACUCCUACGGGAGGCAGCAGUAGGGAAUCUUGCGCAAUGGGCGAAAGCCUGACGGAGCAACGCCGCGUGAGUGAUGAAGGUCUUCGGAUCGUAAAACUCUGUUAUUAGGGAAGAACAUAUGUGUAAGUAACUGUGCACAUCUUGACGGUACCUAAUGAGAAAGCCACGGCUAACUACGUG